RNAcentral lists this ribosomal RNA (492 nucleotides) under uncultured bacterium. Its description in RNAcentral is "partial 16S ribosomal RNA". It matches the Rfam family "Bacterial small subunit ribosomal RNA", at positions 29 to 507 of the family's 1533-position model. The record is from RNAcentral.
AGUGAACGCUGGCGGUAGGCCUAACACAUGCAAGUCGAACGGCAGCACAGUAAGAGCUUGCUCUUACGGGUGGCGAGUGGCGGACGGGUGAGGAAUACAUCGGAAUCUACUUUUUCGUGGGGGAUAACGUAGGGAAACUUACGCUAAUACCGCAUACGACCUACGGGUGAAAGCAGGGGAUCUUCGGACCUUGCGCGAUUGAAUGAGCCGAUGUCGGAUUAGCUAGUUGGCGGGGUAAAGGCCCACCAAGGCGACGAUCCGUAGCUGGUCUGAGAGGAUGAUCCGGCCCCCCUGAACUUAGGCACGGUCCCAGCUCCCUCGGGGAGCCACAGGGGGGAAAUUUUGGACAUGGGGGGCAACCCUAACCAAGCAAACCGCGUGGGUGAAGAAGGCCUUCGGGUUGUAAAGCCCUUUUGUUGGGAAAGAAAAGCAGCAGGUUAAUACCCCGCUGUUCUGACGGUACCCAAAGAAUAAGCACCGGCUAACUUCGUG